RNAcentral lists this microRNA (21 nucleotides) under Dasypus novemcinctus (nine-banded armadillo). Its description in RNAcentral is "dno-miR-323b-5p". Its record names the gene dno-miR-323b-5p. RNAcentral also lists the same sequence under 2 other names. Lineage: Eukaryota; Metazoa; Chordata; Mammalia; Cingulata; Dasypodidae. The record is from miRBase by way of RNAcentral.
AGGUUGUCCGUGGUGAGUUCG